This 289-nucleotide long non-coding RNA is filed under the name Malus domestica (apple). RNAcentral's name for it is "long non-coding RNA (MDOM_LNC004809)". Lineage: Eukaryota; Viridiplantae; Streptophyta; Magnoliopsida; Rosales; Rosaceae. The record is from RNAcentral.
GUCUGCACUCAGGCAAACCAAUCACCUUCUUGUCCAACAGGUUAUCCAGCAUGGCAACCACAUCAGAGUCGGGGAAUGGAUAAGUCUUCUCCUCAAGCUCCUUCAAAGUGCGUCUACGCAUCUCUUGAUCAUGAAAAGCUUCGGUUUGAAUCGCCUUGCCUCGUGUGGAGAUUUUGACGGGAGAUGUGUUUACCGUCAUCGCUUCCUUGGUGGGUUUCCAUGCAGCCUUCUCCACCUUUGUCUCAAGAACUUUGUCGUUCUUGUAGUCGGCGAUCGGUUCCUUCUUCCC